CCUACGGGUGGCAGCAGUGGGGAAUAUUGGACAAUGGGGGGAACCCUGAUCCAGCCAUGCCGCGUGUGUGAAGAAGGCCCUCGGGUUGUAAAGCACUUUCAGUGAGGAAGAACGCCUGGUGGUUAAUACCCAUCAGGAAAGACAUCACUCACAGAAAAAGCACCGGCUAACUCCGUGCCAGCAGCCGCGGUAAUACGGAGGGUGCGAGCGUUAAUCGGAAUUACUGGGCGUAAAGCGCGCGUAGGUGGCUUGAUAAGCCGGUUGUGAAAGCCCCGGGCUCAACCUGGGAACGGCAUCCGGAACUGUCAAGCUAGAGUGCAGGAGAGGAAGGUAGAAUUCCCGGUGUAGCGGUGAAAUGCGUAGAGAUCGGGAGGAAUACCAGUGGCGAAGGCGGCCUUCUGGACUGACACUGACACUGAGGUGCGAAAGCGUGGGUAGCAAACAGGAUUAGAUACCCUGGUAGUC
RNAcentral lists this ribosomal RNA (465 nucleotides) under Vreelandella stevensii. RNAcentral describes it as "partial 16S ribosomal RNA". It matches the Rfam family "Bacterial small subunit ribosomal RNA", at positions 338 to 795 of the family's 1533-position model. Lineage: Bacteria; Pseudomonadati; Pseudomonadota; Gammaproteobacteria; Oceanospirillales; Halomonadaceae. The record is from RNAcentral.